Molecule: unclassified non-coding RNA, 279 nt
Filed under: uncultured fungus
Lineage: Eukaryota; Fungi
Description: partial contains 5.8S ribosomal RNA, internal transcribed spacer 2, and large subunit ribosomal RNA
Rfam family: 5.8S ribosomal RNA (bases 1-52)
Source: RNAcentral
AACGCACAUUGCGCCCUCUGGUAUUCCGGGGGGCAUGCCUGUUCGAGCGUCAUUAUCACCACUCAAGCUCGGCUUGUAAUUGGGCGUCGGUCCCCCGUUCCGGGGAGACUCGCCUCAAAAGCAGUGACGGCCGUGUCCGAUCCUCAGCGUAGUACGAUUACCAAAUCAUCGCUUCCGGGUCGGGCAUCGUUUGCCGGUCAAAACCGAACGGUUCCCCGUCGUGGGACCUUCAUUUCUAAGAUUGACCUCGGAUCAGGUAGGGAUACCCGCUGAACUUAA